GGAGAUGAUUCCUUCUCUAUCUCUAGGAUAUUUUAUGAAGACUAGUGCAAGAAGGAUGUCUACGGAUGAAGACAUACCUUCCUUUACUAAUAGAUAAAGAAAGAAAGACUCUACCAAAGGGUAUAUGAUUAAGACCAAUGUAAAAAUAUCGAGAAAAAACAUGGUCUUGUUGGGCUAGGUCUAAACCAGAAUUUAUAGAAAGAUUAAAAGAUUCCCUAGGUGUAUCUAAAAGUGCAUUAUCUUCUUGAUUAAAAGAUAGGACCUCGGCUAUAGAAAAGGGUUGGUUUUGACCUAUUGCAAUCAACUCCGGACAC
RNAcentral lists this long non-coding RNA (314 nucleotides) under Sorghum bicolor (sorghum). RNAcentral describes it as "long non-coding RNA (SBIC_LNC004627)". The record is from RNAcentral. Lineage: Eukaryota; Viridiplantae; Streptophyta; Magnoliopsida; Poales; Poaceae.